AUCCAAGCUAAAGUCCACUCCUGACACUGUACAUGCAAAAGAGGCACAGAGAGAUUCUCCUUACCAGCGCUUGGGUGGAUGCUUGGUCUAUAGCUGCUACCGACAUUGAGCUCCUGUACAAAGGUGCGUUCGUGGAACAGGGUCUGAAGGCGCUCCUGGGCGUAGUUGUGGCACAGCUCCUCGAAGGUGGCACCGCGCUGGCGCUUGGCCAUUCGAGGGUUCUGGAAACCCGGUGUGUCCACGAUGAGCAGAGAGCACAGAGAGUGCUGACUGGACUUCAGAGCUCUGACACAUGAUACAAAGACUGGUGGUCUCUGAAGGUCCCUUACCUGAGCUGUCUCCUGCGCCGGCCUCGUCGGGCCCCCCGCGGAAGGAGGUGGACCUCUGCAGGGCACCCUUGACCUGGUGCUUGAAGAUGGAUGAGGAGAGCUCCUCCAGGGUGCAGCCCAGCAGGUAGGCAGCCUUCUGGGCCCACUCAUGACGGGCAAACUGCUUACGGCCAGCUGGGGACCAGGGACAGCAUACACAAGUCAGAACCCCUAAUCACUGGCUAUUAUAAUUAACUCAAUGAUCUCUUCCAUACUGUAGCUCAAUGCUAAACACAUUGCUUUGUGACUAAGUUGGUUGGAGCAUAGUUUUUUUCUAUCCCAAUAAAGCUAUAUUAAUAAACGCUAACAAACAACUCCAUCUUUUGAGCUUUGAGGCCUCCUCUACCUAGACUGGAAUAACCACCUUGGCUCAAAGAGCAGGAUUGAACUGAACAAUCUGAGACUAGACUGCUAAGCACUGUUAGCUGGUUUUACAACAACUCUCCGUCAUCCCAUGUUACUGGCUCAGUGUGGCUGAUCACUCCCACUGUUUUCUGGAGAGCUUUCAAAGCUACAGAGACAGCGACUCAAUAUGGUCGCCUCUAACCUCUCAUCAAACAACACUCUGCCACAGAGUCCAAGAAAAACAUUCUAGACCAGAGAGACAGUUAGAACAUAGAGAAUCAAAACAAUGUUCUGACACAAACAACCAGAAAGUAAGUUCCCCUGUGGGUUGGGAGGGGGUUCCAACAGGUUCAAAUGAACAAGCUUUGCUUUUGGUUCGGGUCUGAAUAAUAAUAACAGUGCUGUGGAAUUGGAAGUAGGCGACAUGGAGAGACAUCAGACAGAGAGCUUUAAGGGACAACAAAGUUCUGAUUCAUGAGGCAAAGGAAGAGAGAGAGAGA
Oncorhynchus gorbuscha (pink salmon) is the source of this 1213-nucleotide long non-coding RNA. RefSeq lists it as uncharacterized. The record is from RefSeq and is a predicted model, not a curated record. NCBI's taxonomy places the organism in Eukaryota, Metazoa, Chordata, Actinopteri, Salmoniformes, Salmonidae. The transcript is spliced from 3 exons.